RNAcentral lists this ribosomal RNA (402 nucleotides) under uncultured bacterium. RNAcentral's name for it is "partial 16S ribosomal RNA". It matches the Rfam family "Archaeal small subunit ribosomal RNA", at positions 473 to 873 of the family's 1478-position model. The record is from RNAcentral.
ACACCGGCAGCUCAAGUGGUAGCCGCUUUUAUUGGGCCUAAAGCGUCCGUAGCCGGUCUGGUAAGUCUCUGGUGAAAUCCCGCAGCUUAACUGUGGGAAUUGCUGGAGAUACUAUCAUGACUCGAGGUCGGGAGAGGCUGGAGGGACUCCCAGGGUAGGGGUGAAAUCCUGUAAUCCUGGGAGGACCACCUGUGGCGAAGGCGUCCAGCUGGAACGAACCUGACGGUGAGGGACGAAAGCCAGGGGCGCGAACCGGAUUAGAUACCCGGGUAGUCCUGGCCGUAAACGAUGUGGACUUGGUGUUGGGAUGGCUUCGAGCUGCCCCAGUGCCGAAGGGAAGCUGUUAAGUCCACCGCCUGGGAAGUACGGCCGCAAGGCUGAAACUUAAAGGAAUUGGCGGGG